Molecule: small nuclear RNA, 143 nt
Organism: Cynocephalus volans (Philippine flying lemur)
Lineage: Eukaryota; Metazoa; Chordata; Mammalia; Dermoptera; Cynocephalidae
Product: U4 spliceosomal RNA
Exons: 1
Source: RefSeq, a predicted model, not a curated record
AGCUUUGUGUAGUGACAAUAUCAUAGCCAAUGAGGUUUAUCUGAAACAUAAUUAUUGCUAAUUGAAAACAUCUUCCAUUAGAGGUAAGGUGAAAAGAGCCCAAGCUGUGGUUUGACUUUAAAUUCUGUUUAUUUUCCUAAUAA